Suncus etruscus (white-toothed pygmy shrew) is the source of this 164-nucleotide small nuclear RNA. RefSeq annotates it as U1 spliceosomal RNA. The transcript has a single exon. The record is from RefSeq and is a predicted model, not a curated record. Lineage: Eukaryota; Metazoa; Chordata; Mammalia; Eulipotyphla; Soricidae.
UUUUCUCUCUGGCAGAAGAGAUACCAGAAACAUGAAGGUGGUUUUUCCAGAAUGAGGCCUAUCCAUUGCACUCCAGAUGCAUAGACCCCUGUGAUUUCUCUAAAUAUGGGAAACUUGACUGCAUAAUUUGCAGUAUUAGAGGUCUGCAUUAAUGCUCUCCCCUA